Molecule: ribosomal RNA, 406 nt
Filed under: uncultured bacterium
Lineage: Bacteria
Description: partial 16S ribosomal RNA
Rfam family: Bacterial small subunit ribosomal RNA
Source: RNAcentral
AUUGAACGCUGGCGGCAGGCCUAACACAUGCAAGUCGAACGAGUGGGGGACGGGUGAGAAAUGUGUGGGAAACCGCCUGAUGGAGGGGGAAAAACACUGGAAAGGGUAGCUAACCGCGUAUACCAUGGGAUGCCCCCAGAUGGGAUUAGCUAGUGGGUGGGGUAAAGGCUCCCCUGGGCGACGAUCCCUAGCUGGUCUGAGAGGAUGACCAGCCACACUGGAACUGAGACACGGUCCAGACUCCGACGGGAGGCAGCAGUGGGGAAUAUUGCACAAUGGGCGCAAGCCUGAUGCAGCCAUGCCGCGUGUAUGAAGAAGGCCUUAGGGUUGUAAAGUACUUUCAGCCGGGAGGCGUUACCCACAGAAGAAGCACCGGCUAACUCCGUGCCAGCAGCCGCGGUAAUAC